RNAcentral lists this ribosomal RNA (253 nucleotides) under uncultured bacterium. RNAcentral's name for it is "partial 16S ribosomal RNA". It matches the Rfam family "Bacterial small subunit ribosomal RNA", at positions 524 to 776 of the family's 1533-position model. The record is from RNAcentral.
UACGUAGGGGGCAAGCGUUGUCCGGAAUCAUUGGGCGUAAAGAGCGUGUAGGCGGCCAGAUAAGUCCGCUGUGAAAUCUCGAGGCUCAACUUCGAGCUGUCGGUGGAAACUGUCUGGCUAGAGUCUGGAAGAGGAGAAUGGAAUUCCUGGUGUAGCGGUGAAAUGCGCAGAUAUCAGGAAGAACACCCGUGGCGAAGGCGGUUCUCUGGGACGGUACUGACGCUGAGACGCGAAAGCGUGGGGAGCGAACAGG